Molecule: ribosomal RNA, 507 nt
Filed under: uncultured bacterium
Lineage: Bacteria
Description: partial 16S ribosomal RNA
Source: RNAcentral
GGAGUUAGCCGGUGCUUCUUCUGUGAGUGAUGUCCUUCCUGCCGGCUAUUAACCCGCAGGCCUUCUUCCUCACUGAAAGUGCUUUACAACCCGAAGGCCUUCUUCACACACGCGGCAUGGCUGGAUCAGGGUUGCCCCCAUUGUCCAAUAUUCCCCACUGCUGCCUCCCGUAGGAGUCUGGGCCGUGUCUCAGUCCCAGUGUGGCUGAUCAUCCUCUCAGACCAGCUACGGAUCGUCGACUUGGUGAGCCGUUACCUCACCAACCAGCUAAUCCGACAUAGGCUCAUCCGAUAGCGCGAGGCCCGAAGGUCCCCCGCUUUCCCCCGUAGGGCGUAUGCGGUAUUAGCCUGGGUUUCCCCAGGUUAUCCCCCACUACCGGGCAGAUUCCUAUGCAUUACUCACCCGUCCGCCGCUCGCCACCAGGGAGCAAGCUCCCCGUGCUGCCGCUCGACUUGCAUGUGUUAGGCCUGCCGCCAGCGUUCAAUCUGAGCCAUGAUCAAACUCUGA